RNAcentral lists this ribosomal RNA (503 nucleotides) under uncultured bacterium. RNAcentral describes it as "bacterial SSU rRNA". It matches the Rfam family "Bacterial small subunit ribosomal RNA", at positions 28 to 526 of the family's 1533-position model. The record is from RNAcentral.
GAUCAACGCUGGCGGCGUGCUUAACACAUGCAAGUCGAACGGUAACGCGGGGGCAACCCUGGCGACGAGUGGCGGACGGGUGAGGAAUGCUUGGGAAUCUGCCUGUUAGUGGGGGACAACCCGGGGAAACUCGGGCUAAUACCGCAUACGCUCUACGGAGGAAAGCGGGGGACCGUAAGGCCUCGCGCUAACAGAUGAGCCCAAGUCGGAUUAGCUAGUUGGUGGGUUAAAGGCCUACCAAGGCUACGAUCCGUAGCUGGUCUGAGAGGACGAUCAGCCACACUGGGACUGAGACACGGCCCAGACUCCUACGGGAGGCAGCAGUGGGGAAUAUUGGACAAUGGGGGAAACCCUGAUCCAGCAAUGCCGCGUGUGUGAAGAAGGCCUGCGGGUUGUAAAGCACUUUUGGCAGGGAUGAAAAGCACUGGAUUAAUAAACCAGUGUGUUGACCUAACCUGCAGAAGAAGCACCGGCUAACUCUGUGCCAGCAGCCGCAGUAAAAC